Molecule: long non-coding RNA, 2174 nt
Filed under: Salmo salar (Atlantic salmon)
Lineage: Eukaryota; Metazoa; Chordata; Actinopteri; Salmoniformes; Salmonidae
Description: lncRNA (ENSSSAG00000105916.1)
Source: RNAcentral
AAGUGACAUUGCCCAAUUACGUGUUUGUCCCGAAGCCACUCCUGUGUUGUCUUGACUGUGUGCUUAGGGUCGUUGUCCUGCUUAGGGUCAUUGUCCUGUCGCCCCGGUCUGAGGUUCCCUCAAAAUAAUCGUUCAGAGAAGAACUUUUAUGUUUAGUGCCCCUUCAGGGACAAACACGAGGAGAGGAUAUUCUGAAAGCCUUUGUCACAUUUUUUUGCUGAUAAUAAUAUUGACUGGUCAAACAUGUGAGGGAAGGAGAAGGGACUCAUAGGCCUGAUGAGAAAGAGAAAGGAUAUUCCCGAAUUUGUUACAUUUCAUUGUAUCAUUCAUCAGGAAGCGCUUGUGGCUAAACUCAAAUACUGUGACUUACAGAACGUGAUGCAGCAAGUCGUGUGUGUGUGGUGAACAUUAUUGUUGCGAGGGCACUGAAUCACCGGCAAUUCCGCAAGUUGCUGGAGGAAUACCAGACAGAGUACGGCGACUUGAUAUUUCACAAUAAGACAUCACCUGCCACCUGAACACGGUGAAUCUCCAGCUCCAAGGGAAAGCUAAAACUCUGGUCAAAAUGUUGCGUGUGGUCACAACAUUUCAAAGUAAAAUAACCUCACUGUUCAUACCUGACAGACAGUUUGUUCAUUUCCCAAAACUCAGAGCGGUCACCACAUCCAACCCAGACAUACUGCAACAUUUUAGCUAUGACGCAUUUGCAGUGGUGUAAAGUUUAAAGUAAAAAUACUUUAAAGUACUACAUAACUAGGAUUUUUUGGUAUCUGUACAUUACUUUACUAUUUAUAUUUUUGACAACUUUUACUUCGCUACAUUUCUAAAGAAAUGUAUGUACUUUUUACAUUUUCCCUGACACCCAAAAGUACUAGUUACAUUGUGAAUGCUUAGCAGGACAGAAAAUGGUUGAAUUCGCACAUUUAUCAAGAGAACAUCCCUGCUCAUCCUUACUGCCUCUGAUCUGGUGGACUCACUAAACACAAAUACUUUGUUUGUAAAUUAUGUCUGAGUGUUGGAGUGUGACCCUGGCUAUCCGUUAAAAAAAAAUUGUGCCGUCUGGUUUGCUUAAUAUAAGGAUUUUUUAAAUGAUUUGUACUUUUAUUUUGAUACUUAAGUAUAUUUUAGCAACUACAUUUACUUUUGAUACUUAAGUAUAUUUAAAACCAAAUACUUUUAGGCUUUUACUCAAGUAGUAUUUUACUGGGUGACUUUCACUUUUACUUGAGUUAUUUUCUAUUAAGGUGUCUUUACUUUUACUCAUGUAUGAGAAUUGAGUACUUUUUCCACCACAGUGCAUUUGUGCGUGUGUUGGAAGAGUUGAAGUUGGAGUUUGAGUCAAGAUUCAAGGAUAUCAUGGACUACUUCAUUGAGACCCCCUUUCAUGUGCCAAUGUCAUCUCUGAAACCAGUCAUCACAGCCCUCUGUCCUGACCGUGCUGGAAUAGAGAGUGAGAUAGUGGAGCUGCUGGCAAAUGACACAUUGCAAGGUGAACUAAGAUCAGGUGUUACCCAUUUCUGGAGCCUUGUCAGACACAGAGUAUCCACUUCUGAAGCAGUGUGUGCAAAACAUUUUUUUUUUGUCAGCACCUAUUCAUGUGAAGCAACAUUAUCAACAAUGAACAUUGUGAAACAAAAACAAAGAAACAGACUGACCAAUGCAAACCUGGAUUGCCUGACAAGGAUAGCAACAACAGACUAUACAUUUAGAAUUAAUUCAGUCAAGGAGCUCAUCCAACUACUGAGGUAACCCUUAACAUGGGUCUUAGGCAUGUGAUGUAGCCUAUUUGAUGCGUGUGCAGUAUGUAUAUAUUUGUGAUGUACAUCAAAUCAAUUGCAUGUGCUCUUUUGUUCUGAAUUUGCUCUCAUUUGAUAAUUGAUAAUUUUGGAAGAAAAAGUACAACAAAUUAAAGAUCUGUGCGGCCCUCUGAAUUCACUGUCUCAACCCAACUUGGCCCCCUUACAAAAAAUUGUGAGUAACACUGAAAUAGGGCUAUCUUCUGUAUACCACCCCUACCUUGUCACAACACAACUGAUUGUCUCAAAUGCAUUAAGAAGGAAAUAAAUUCCACAAAUUAACUUAACAUGGCAAAAUGGUUAAUUGAAAUGGAUUUCAGGUGACUACCUCAUGAAGCUGGUUGAGAGAAUACCAAGAGUGUGCAAAGCUGUCAAGGC